GACGGAGGAUGCAAGUGUUAUCCGGAAUCACUGGGCGUAAAGCGUCUGUAGGCGGUUUAAAAAGUCCACUGUUAAAGAUUGAAGCUUAACUUCAAAAAUGCCGUGGAAACUUUUAAACUUGAGUAUGAUAGGGGUAGAGGGAAUUUCCAGUGGAGCGGUGAAAUGCGUAGAUAUUGGAAAGACCACCAAUGGCGAAGGCACUCUACUGGGCCAUUACUGACACUGAGAGACGAAAGCUAGGGGAGCAAAUGGG
Molecule: ribosomal RNA, 253 nt
Filed under: uncultured bacterium
Lineage: Bacteria
Description: partial 16S ribosomal RNA
Rfam family: Bacterial small subunit ribosomal RNA
Source: RNAcentral